GGGGAUGCCCGGUCUCGACGGGAUGGGAGAAUCCAAGAGCAGCAUGCCGUGCUGCGCCGGUGCUGCACGUUAAUCCAACCGGCGAACAAAAAGUGCCGACGCGGUUGCAUACCGCAUGGCAGCCUAAUCCAAGGGGUUAGGCGCCAUCGUCUGUACGAGGGUAUGCCCAUCUGCCCUGGUACAGGCGUGGAUGGAUGAUGGGCAGCAUCCUGGGAGCCAUCGCCGGGCGCUCAAGAUGCUUAUGAAAACGGCGAUAGCUUCGGCGUCCUGCCGCUUGGAGCCGCCGAAGUGAAAAAAUCAAAAAGCGGCUGAGCAUGGAGAAGCUCUUGGGUUCACAUCUCGGACGUGGGUUCGACUCCCACCAUCUCCACGA
Molecule: transfer-messenger RNA, 373 nt
Filed under: Bacteroidota (CFB group bacteria)
Lineage: Bacteria; Pseudomonadati
Also listed under: 2 other names
Description: g HRBIN21 X1 Standard tmRNA
Rfam family: transfer-messenger RNA
About the family: Bacterial tmRNA, also known as 10Sa RNA or SsrA, is named for its dual tRNA and mRNA-like properties. Its role is to liberate the mRNA from a stalled ribosome. To accomplish this part of the tmRNA is used as a reading frame that ends in a translation stop signal.
Source: RNAcentral